This 354-nucleotide long non-coding RNA is filed under the name Homo sapiens (human). RNAcentral's name for it is "HSALNT0120938". The record is from RNAcentral. Lineage: Eukaryota; Metazoa; Chordata; Mammalia; Primates; Hominidae.
AGUAGCUGGGACUACAGGAAGUUGCAGAAUUGGCUUUGGUAAAAUGUGAGAGUAAACUUAUAAAGAGGAAGACAUGGAAUCCAGGAAUGAGAUGCAAGAUAGGAGAGUGGGAAAGGAUGCCCUAGGACCACUGCUGGACCAGGUCUAAAAAGUAACCAGUGUACUGAAGGACAACAGAUUGAAGAGUCUAGGUAAAAAAUGAACUGACUACCUGAUAUGUAGUUAUGUGUGGAAAAAGUACUAUUGGGGCUCAGAAAAUGAUACCCCAAAGUAUGGUGCUUUGGCAUGCUGAGUACUUUGAACUAAAUGAGAUUAGAGAAGGCCUCAGAAGACAGUUGCUCUCUGACCUUCUCU